GGGAAUCUACCGUGCCCUGCGGAAUAGCUCCGGGAAACUGGAAUUAAUACCGCAUACGCCCUACGGGGGAAAGAUUUAUCGGGGUAUGAUGAGCCCGCGUUGGAUAGCUAGUUGGUGGGGUAAAGGCCUACCAAGGCGACGAUCCAUAGCUGGUCUGAGAGGAUGAUCAGCCACAUUGGGACUGAGACACGGCCCAAACUCCUACGGGAGGCAGCAGUGGGGAAUAUUGGACAAUGGGCGCAAGCCUGAUCCAGCCAUGCCGCGUGAGUGAUGAAGGCCUUAGGGUUGUAAAGCUCUUUCACCGGAGAAGAUAAUGACGGUAUCCGGAGAAGAAGCCCCGGCUAACUUCGUGCCAGCAGCCGCGGUAAUACGAAGGGGGCUAGCGUUGUUCGGAAUUACUGGGCGUAAAGCGCACGUAGGCGGAUAUUUAAGUCAGGGGUGAAAUCCCAGAGCUCAACUCUGGAACUGCCUUUGAUACUGGGUAUCUUGAGUAUGGAAGAGGUAAGUGGAAUUGCGAGU
RNAcentral lists this ribosomal RNA (519 nucleotides) under uncultured bacterium. RNAcentral's name for it is "bacterial SSU rRNA". It matches the Rfam family "Bacterial small subunit ribosomal RNA", at positions 120 to 674 of the family's 1533-position model. The record is from RNAcentral.